Long non-coding RNA from Oncorhynchus tshawytscha (Chinook salmon), 1655 nucleotides. The record is from Ensembl. Lineage: Eukaryota; Metazoa; Chordata; Actinopteri; Salmoniformes; Salmonidae.
CCAGCACAUCCCGAUCUAACUUCCAGUACCCCCUACCAAAGAGGCAGACUGGCGACCCCACCUGCAGGAGCACCCCGUCGUGAUCUGAAAAGAAAACAGGCAACAGCCGCCCAGACAACUUACCCAAAGACCUGGGUACAAAAAUAUAGUCGAGCCUCCGCUCAACCCCCCUGGAGUUGCGCCAUGUAGGACCGGCCAUUUUCGGAGUAGUGUGCAGACCACCAUCAACCAGACCAUGGCAAGCCAUUAGCCCGGUAAUGGCGCCUGCACUGCUAUCCCCCCCUAUUCCUAAAUCUGUAUUAAAAUCCCCCUAUCACUAAUUUCCUAUUUGUGACACACAGGGGCGUCAGACAGUCCACCAUCUCCCUCCUGUCUGCCACCACCUGUGGCCCAUACACCACCACUAAUCUAAAUUUACAAUCCCUUAUCGUGACAUCCACCCCUAUAACCCUCCCCUGCAUUACCACAAAAGAAUCCUCCACUUUUACCUCCCUGUGCCCACACAAAAUCCCUACCCCGAUGAGUGCACCCCCAAUACCCCAAACCGACUCCCCCUUGUCCCACUCCCUCUUAAACCUACUAACAUCCCCUCCAUCCCUCAGGUGAACCUCCUGUAAAAAACAAAAAUCAAAACCCACAACCUCCAAAUAACUAAAAACCGCCCUCCUCUUAACAAAAUCCCUUAAACCCCUUACAUUUAAACUAACAAAAGUAAAAUUAGACCCCAUGAAAUAAUAAAAUAAAAACAUGUAAUACACUCAAAUUCUAAACCCAGACAGAAAAAAAAAAAACAGGAGACUCACCCGAUGCUCCCCUGCUCCAUAUCUACCGGUGAGAACACCAUCCGACAUCCCCCCCUCUUCCUCCAUCUCACCAACCCAGGAUGCAGGAAUAGUGUUUGGCUUCGGGGUGCCCUGCACCCUGGGUCUACCCCCACACUCCUCCCCUCCCCAGUGCUGCAGCUGGUUUGGAAAAAAAAAAAAAAAAAAAAAAAAAAAAAAUCGGGGAGGCUGGGGGCCUGGGGAAACCAGCAGCAACCCAGAGGUUUCUCCCACCCCUAUCACUCUCUUGGCCAUCCCCUCCCUCUCACUGUCGGCCAAUCGCACCCUCCUCUUCAUUCUCUUCUUUGGUGAUGGCGGCAGUGGAGAGAUACCACCCUCCCCCCCCGCCAGCUCCUCCACCAUACCCCUCAUCUCUUCCACCAGGGCACUUUCCCCCCAGUCGACUUGCUCUUCCACCGUCUCCUUCUCCAACACUCCUCCCUCGCUUUCUUCUCUCUCAUGCUCCUCCACUCGGCUGCCUUCUUCCACCGCUUUUCCUGGUUCUCCUACUCCCGUGCCUUCUGUUUCCUUCUCUUUUCCAUCCGCCGCUUCUUGCUCCUCCUCCUUCCUAGCGGCCUUCCCCUCUGGACCUGUACUCUGGUCAUGAGGCGUGCUUCCUUCCCCUCCUCUUCUUCCCCCAUCCCCCGCUCCUGCUCCCCCCCAGCCGCAGACGCAUAUGACCUCUGACGAGCCGGGCACCCCCGCCACAGGUGUGCUGACGAGCCACACCCGUGGCACGCCUUAGGCUUGUCACAAUCCCUCGCCUCGUGUUCCUCAGAUCCACAAAAUCGGCAUUUUCUUGUGCUGCACGAGGCGAAUAUGUGGCCAUACAGC